AUACGUAGGUUGCAAGCGUUGUCCGGAUUUACUGGGUGUAAAGGGCGUGUAGGCGGAGGAGCAAGUCAGAUGUGAAAUCCCGGGGCUUAACCCCGGAACUGCAUUUGAAACUGUUCCCCUUGAGUAUCGGAGAGGCAAGCGGAAUUCCUAGUGUAGCGGUGAAAUGCGUAGAUAUUAGGAGGAACACCAGUGGCGAAGGCGGCUUGCUGGACGACAACUGACGCUGAGGCGCGAAAGCGUGGGGAGC
Molecule: ribosomal RNA, 247 nt
Filed under: uncultured bacterium
Lineage: Bacteria
Description: partial 16S ribosomal RNA
Rfam family: Bacterial small subunit ribosomal RNA
Source: RNAcentral